Molecule: ribosomal RNA, 586 nt
Filed under: uncultured bacterium
Lineage: Bacteria
Description: partial 16S ribosomal RNA
Rfam family: Bacterial small subunit ribosomal RNA
Source: RNAcentral
UGGGGAAUUUUGGACAAUGGGCGAAAGCCUGAUCCAGCAAUGCCGCGUGUGUGAAGAAGGCCUUCGGGUUGUAAAGCACUUUUGUCCGGAAAGAAAUCCUUGGCUCUAAUACAGUCGGGGGAUGACGGUACCGGAAGAAUAAGCACCGGCUAACUACGUGCCAGCAGCCGCGGUAAUACGUAGGGUGCAAGCGUUAAUCGGAAUUACUGGGCGUAAAGCGUGCGCAGGCGGUUUGCUAAGACCGAUGUGAAAUCCCCGGGCUCAACCUGGGAACUGCAUUGGUGACUGGCAGGCUAGAGUAUGGCAGAGGGGGGUAGAAUUCCACGUGUAGCAGUGAAAUGCGUAGAGAUGUGGAGGAAUACCGAUGGCGAAGGCAGCCCCCUGGGCCAAUACUGACGCUCAUGCACGAAAGCGUGGGGAGCAAACAGGGUUAGAUACCCUGGUAGUCCACGCCCUAAAACGAUGUCAACUAGUUGUUGGGGAUUCAUUUCCUUAGUAACGUAGCUAACGCGUGAAGUUGACCGCCUGGGGAGUACGGUCGCAAGAUUAAAACUUAAAUGAAUUGACGGGGUCAUAGCUGUUUCCU